RNAcentral lists this transfer RNA (74 nucleotides) under Rhipicephalus sanguineus (brown dog tick). RNAcentral describes it as "transfer RNA threonine (anticodon CGU)". It matches the Rfam family "tRNA". Rfam says of the family: Transfer RNA (tRNA) molecules are approximately 80 nucleotides in length. Their secondary structure includes four short double-helical elements and three loops (D, anti-codon, and T loops). The record is from Rfam by way of RNAcentral. Lineage: Eukaryota; Metazoa; Arthropoda; Arachnida; Ixodida; Ixodidae.
GCCGCUGUGGCUCAGUUGGUAAGAGCAUCGGGCGCGUAAUCCGAAGGUCGCAGGUUCGGUCCCUGCCGGCGGCA